GAUGAACGCUGGCGGCGUGCCUAAUACAUGCAAGUCGAGCGAACGGACGAGAAGCUUGCUUCUCUGAUGUUAGCGGCGGACGGGUGAGUAACACGUGGAUAACCUACCUAUAAGACUGGGAUAACUUCGGGAAACCGGAGCUAAUACCGGAUAAUAUUUUGAACCGCAUGGUUCAAAAGUGAAAGACGGUCUUGCUGUCACUUAUAGAUGGAUCCGCGCUGCAUUAGCUAGUUGGUAAGGUAACGGCUUACCAAGGCAACGAUGCAUAGCCGACCUGAGAGGGUGAUCGGCCACACGGGAGCUGAGCCACGGACCAGACUCCUACGGGAGGCAGCAGUAGGGAAUCUUCCGCAGUGGGCGAAAGCCUGACGGAGCAACGCCGCGUGAGAGAUGAAGGUCUUCGGAGCGUAAAACUCUGUUAUUAGGGAAGAACAUAUGUGUAAGGAACUGUGCACAUCUUGACGGUACCGAAUCAGAAAGCCACGGCUAACUACGUG
Molecule: ribosomal RNA, 497 nt
Filed under: uncultured bacterium
Lineage: Bacteria
Description: partial 16S ribosomal RNA
Rfam family: Bacterial small subunit ribosomal RNA
Source: RNAcentral